Molecule: RNA transcript, 1509 nt
Organism: Gossypium raimondii (Peruvian cotton)
Lineage: Eukaryota; Viridiplantae; Streptophyta; Magnoliopsida; Malvales; Malvaceae
Exons: 3
Source: RefSeq, a predicted model, not a curated record
UGGUUUACCAAUUGAAUUGGGCUCAAUCAACUACAAGCAAAUGGGCUUGUUUUGUUCAGCUCUUCUGUUAAACCAAGCAAAGUAGCCUGCAGAUUUACGGGUUUGGGAACCAGGGUUUUGAAGAGAUGGCAGCUACAAUUGCAGCAAGAUCUUCAUUUCUUCGUCCAGUCUUAAGAACAGCAACAGCAUCAAGAAUCUCAUUUUCGGUUCCCAAUUCUUCACUUCGUUCCACUUCCACUCGUCCUUCUACCCGCCUUUCUCCAUACUUUUUUUAAAUGUUUCUUUGUUAAUAGAAUGAAUUGGGUUUUUUUUUUCCUUGUAUAUGUCACUGGACGGUGAUUUUGGUUCCUUUGGGUUCUGUGUUAAAGGUUGGUUCGACGAGAACUGAGCACUCUUCAACCGGUUCACAGUGCGGUUGCAUCGGCUUGCCUUGUUUCCAAGCUUCCCCGUGAUGCCAACAAUUGUGCUGAAGGUCGAUUUGCUAACUAUCUUAUUCCCAUCUAACAGCAAGUGCAUGUAGAAGUGGUGCUACUUACUUUAUUUUGUACAUCAGAAUUCAGCUUUUCAGGAUCAAUUGGCUUGUAACCUGUUUAUUUAAGAUACUCUUGAGUAUCUCCUCUUUGUUUUGUGAUGAUUCUAACUUAGCUUUGGGUGAUGGUUCUUUUGCUAUAUGUUUUAAAUCAUCUAAAUAGAUAGAGAAAUGAAUCCAAGUUUGCAUCCAGUUUUGAUCUGCUGGAUGUUGGUGAAUGCUACCGGUACUUCAUUUUUGCUGAUUGAUACGAUAUGAGUUCUAAAGAUGUUUCAACUAGAAAAAUCUUGUUGUACUUGCUGCAGACAUAUACCCCGUCUUUGACACUCGAAUUCAGCAGCAUAGCUGGAGAGUAAUGUGACAAUGUGUGCGAUUGAACUGAAACAGAAAGGACCCUUAAUUAGAACGGUUUUGAGGUGGGUGGCACGAUGAUGUUUUAAGUGUUUCGUAGCCUUCAAGGGUCCUUAUACGCACAAGCAUACAUGAUUAUAGAUGUUCGAACAAAAGCUGGAUAUGAGAGAGAAAGCAGACUGGGAUUAUCUUUCUUGCUGCUUCACCUCAAGUGCUUGACAGGCUUUUAACAGCCAUGAAAGACCUGGUUCCAGCUUUGUGGCUCCACAAAAUAUAUAAAGGGCUAUCCUCCAAAAUUGAAAUAGUUGAAAAAGUAAGGACUCAAGUCCAUGGCAGUAUUGAAUUAUACUUGCCCUACCUAGCAGCAUCCUUGCCCCCCUCGCUAAAGGUCAUACAUAUUGUGACAAGCAGAACUCAACAUGGGAAAAUGAAAAGGAAGAAAAAUGAAGAAAAAACUGUGAGUGUGAGAAAUGCCUUAGAGUUCAGUGGAUGACGAAUCACUUCCCAUUUUAAUUUACCUUGAGAAUAAAGCAGUUCUCUUUUUCUUAUGAUCAGAUUGCACCUGUAUUCUUACUUUCUGGGUAUUGAUUGAAAACCUUGUAAUCCAUGUAUUUAUGUAAUUUUUGUGA